GAUUAAACCUGGGCUUCUGCUGAUUGCCAGUCAGUACAUAAAGAGUGUCAAGGUAAAAGCUGAGAAGUGUCGCAGCGCUAUUCCUAGAUCAAAAGAUAAAAAUUUGCAAGGGAGGGCAUCAGGUAUACUCCGGCCCUGCUUGGUCUCUGGCAGCAGUUCAAGUUCUUGGCUUGUCCUGGGCCUGUGCCCUACAAGGGGCAGCCAUCUGCCCUGGGCCAUCCUCUUCACAGGUCUCCCUCAGUUUCAGGCACGUGCCUCCCAGCCCUUGGGAACCCAUGGUAGAUUCUAGAAUGCCUCUGUGUGAUCAGUUUAACCCAGUACUAAUGCCUCUUCCAUCAACAGAUUCCUCAAAUGAGUGCUAGGAAGCUGUGAAUUUCUGGGAUAUGACAAAGCCAGACAGGUGACAAAGUACAUCUCUUGGCAAUGUAAGAUGCAUCUGACCCUAGCUGCUUCUUUUACUCUUGUGCCUUCUGAGGUGUACUAGUACAACAUUGUGAAAUAAACAGAAGAACUGCUCACA
Molecule: long non-coding RNA, 520 nt
Filed under: Anas platyrhynchos platyrhynchos (common mallard)
Lineage: Eukaryota; Metazoa; Chordata; Aves; Anseriformes; Anatidae
Description: lncRNA (ENSAPLG00000021571.1)
Source: RNAcentral